Arachis stenosperma is the source of this 2632-nucleotide long non-coding RNA. RefSeq lists it as uncharacterized. The transcript has 4 exons. The record is from RefSeq and is a predicted model, not a curated record. Lineage: Eukaryota; Viridiplantae; Streptophyta; Magnoliopsida; Fabales; Fabaceae.
AAAUAAACAAUUAGACAAUGACAAUAGGGAAGAGGGACUCAACAACGAAGGUUCCUGCUGGAGAAGAAAUCCUCUAUGAGCUUCCUCGCCCCUUUGACAACUUCAACACAUGGGAUCGUUCUCUGUUCGAAGACUUGCAAGUUACGCGCCAACCAGAUCUUCCAUAAGGUGAUUGCAGCAAGGCUCCGUCUUUGUUUUCCUUGGGUUCCACCACCGCUUUGCAUUACUAUCUCCCUCCACCAUUUCCAUAACACUGUAGUAUUUUCAGGACACUGGGGAUUCACAUUCGAAAACCUGGACUGCAGCUUGAGUUUAACUGGGAGUCCUCCAUGAAUAGCUUUCCACAGAAAUACCUUCACCUUUGCUGGAGAAUGUAAGGACCAGAUCGAUUGCCACACAUCUUUUUGCUUGAAGACUUCCGGGAGGAACUCUAUUGGCGAAUGAAAAAAUUGGAAUGCAAUUCGGUAUCCUGAGUUCACUUUGUAGGCCCAGAUAUUUAUCUUGGGCUCCAACGUGUGGAACCUGAAGGAGUUGUGCUAGCUCUGCCCGAAUCUGCUGAGGAGUAUUUUGACUGAAAAAGAUUGAUGAUUUAUUCAGGUUAACAAUCUGGCCGCUAACUCUGGAGUAGUCUUGUAGUAUUUGCAUUAAUCUUUGGCAUGUUUGAACAUUUGCUUUACUAAAGAGGAUGGAGUCGUCUGCGAAAAAGAGAUGACUGAUUGUAGGGCACCUCCGGUUUAAUUUAAGUCCAGAAAAUUGCUGUCUCUGUUCUCCUAUGUGGAGCAGAUAAGAUAAACCCUCUGCACAGACUAGGAAUAGAUAUGGGGAAAGAGAAUCUCCUUGUCGGAGUCCCCUUGUUGGCUUAAACAAGCCGUGAGAGUGUCCUUCCACAAUAACAGAGUAAGAAACCGUCGUAACACAUUCCUUCAUCCAGUUUAUCCAUUUUUUGCAAAAACCAAGCCUCUUCAUAACCUCCCACACAAAACUCCAUUCAACCCGAUUAUAGGCUUUGCUCAUGUCAAGUUUAAGAGCUAAGUCGUACUCGCCAUACUUCUUAUUCUUCAGUAUCUGCUCCUGGAACCUUUGGAAUCAAACAUAUUUGGGUGCGGUUGAGGGAACGCAGCAUCUUUCCCCCCUGAGAAAAAACUUCUGACAACCAUAGUUACAUCUUCUUUAAUAAUACUCCAGUAAAAUUGAUAAAACUUUGCCGUGAAUCCAUCCUCUCCUGGUGCUGAGAAUGGGUUAAUAGAGAAGACUGCACUCUUGACUUCCUUAUUACAGAUCGGCCUUGUGAGAAUUCUGUUCUCCCUUCUAUCCACUUUAAUCUCUAUACCUUCCAGAGUCUCCUCCGGGUCAAUUGGAUUUGAAGUUGUGAAUAAAUUUUCAAAAAAUUCUUGGGCUAUUCUACCAAUUUCUUCCGUCUCUGAUUGGUACUGACCGCUUUCAUCUUGGAGCUUUUCAAUCUUGUUGUGUUUAUUCCUUGAACAAAAUUUAGAAUAAAAAAAUUUUGUGUUUUGAUCUCCCCAUUGUAACCAGUUGACUCUAGAUUUCUCCUUUCAAUACCUCUCUUCUUUCUCAUAAGCAUUUUCUAGAGUUGCCUCAAGGAUGAGAAUCUGCUGCUUGUUAGCUCCAGCCCCCUUCAGUUUCUCGAUUUCUAACUUCUGCUUGGUCUCUUCUAUUAUCUUAGCCGAGUUGUCUGGCUUCAGUUUCAGUCACUCAACAAUGUUAUGCCGACAUUGUUUGAGUUUAUUGAAUAGCCUAAACAUAGGAGAACCUGAGUAUUCUGUCUUCCAUGCAUCUGUUACCAUAGUAGUCAUCUCUUCUUCUCCACACCACCUUUCUUGAAAGCAGAAAUGUCGUUUUGGCCUCCGAUCCUGCAGUUCUGAUUCCAAAAGAAUAGGUCUAUGAUCUGACCCCUGAUCCUCCAAAUGCAAAAUUUUUGCUGUUGGGUAAUCCUACCGCCAAUGGUUAGAAACCAGACAACGAUCUAACAUCUCUCUGAUAAAAGAGUCUCCAAACUGUCUGUUGUUCCACGUGUAUUUAAUUCCUUCAUACCCCAAGUCACUUAAAUUGCCACCAUCAAGAAAGUUCUGAAACUUUUCAACAGAACUAGUUGCUUUAGGCCUCCCUCCCUCCUUCUCAUGAUGAGCUAGGAUAGCAUUAAAGUCUCCCAGAACUAAGAAUAAUUCCUCUCUCGAGUUGAGAAUUUGGAGUAACUUAUCAAACUGCCCACUCCAUUGAUUUUCUUCACUAUGCAGGUGCACUGCAAUCACAUUCCAAAAUUUGUUUUUGCUAGUAUCCAGAACUUUGAAAUGGAUAAAGAUUGCUGAUUCUAUAACAUUAAUUUGCACUUCAGCCCAUCAUGCUAGCACCAAACCUCUAGCACCAUAUUCAAUGUUAAAAAUAAAUAAAUGUAUAAAAAAAUCUUAAAAUUUAUUUCUUAUUAAUUUACAUAAUUUUAAUACUUUAAAGUUACCCAAAGUAAAGUUUAAUAUUUUAGUAGCUACUAUUAUAUUAAAAGUAAUAAAAAAAAGUAUAAAAUGAGAAUAUAUUACUAUAUCGCUAAUAAAAAAAAAAAAAACAAAACAAAAAAAAGAAAGAAAGAAUUGUCGUCGCUGAUAAAAAUAACAAUUAC